ACGCUCGACACCUACUGGAGGCAGCAGUGGGGAAUAUUGCACAAUGGGGGAAACCCUGAUGCAGCGACGCCGCGUGGAGGAAGAAGGUCUUCGGAUUGUAAACUCCUGUUGUUGGGGAAAAAGAGGAUGGUACCCAACAAGGAAGUGACGGCUAACUACGUACCAGCAGCCGCGGUAAUCUGAGCGGGCUGGCAAGGC
Molecule: ribosomal RNA, 198 nt
Filed under: uncultured bacterium
Lineage: Bacteria
Description: partial 16S ribosomal RNA
Rfam family: Bacterial small subunit ribosomal RNA
Source: RNAcentral